CCUACGGGAGGCAGCAGUGGGGGAUAUUGCACAAUGGGGGGAACCCUGAUGCAGCGACGCCGCGUGGGUGAAGAAGCGCCUCGGCGCGUAAAGCCCUGUCAGCAGGGAAGAAAAUGAAGGUACCUGAAGAAGAAGCCCCGGCUAACUACGUGCCAGCAGCCGCGGGAAUACGUAGGGGGCAAGCGUUAUACGGAUUUACUGGGUGUAAAGGGGGCGCAGACGGCGAUGCAAGCCAGGAGUGAAAGCCCGGGGCGCAACCCCGGGACUGCUCUUGGAACUGCAUGGCUGGAGUGCCGGAGGGGCAAGCGGAAGUCCUGGUGUAGCGGUGAAAUGCGGAGAUAUGAGGAGGAACACCGGGGGCGAAGGCGGCCUGCUGGACUGCAACUGACGUUGAGGCCCGAAAGCGUGGGGAGCAAACAGGAUUAGAUACCCCAGUAGUC
RNAcentral lists this ribosomal RNA (440 nucleotides) under uncultured bacterium. RNAcentral's name for it is "partial 16S ribosomal RNA". It matches the Rfam family "Bacterial small subunit ribosomal RNA", at positions 338 to 795 of the family's 1533-position model. The record is from RNAcentral.